RNAcentral lists this ribosomal RNA (274 nucleotides) under uncultured bacterium. Its description in RNAcentral is "partial 16S ribosomal RNA". It matches the Rfam family "Bacterial small subunit ribosomal RNA", at positions 523 to 796 of the family's 1533-position model. The record is from RNAcentral.
CCACGGAGGGCGCAAGCGUUGCUCGGAAUCACUGGGCGUAAAGCGGGUGUAGGCGGUCUAGCAAGUCAGAUGUGAAAGCCCACGGCUCAACCGUGGAAGUGCAUCUGAAACUGCUAGACUUGAGUGCCGGAGAGGGAAGUGGAAUUCCUGGUGUAGGGGUGAAAUCCGUAGAUAUCAGGAGGAACACCGGUGGCGAAGGCGACUUCCUGGACGGCCACUGACGCUGAGACCCGAAAGCGUGGGGAGCAAACAGGAUUAGAAACCCUAGUAGUCC